UAGUGGCAAACGGGCGAGUAACACGUGCUUAACUUACCUUGGAGUUAAGGAUAACUGGGGAAACUCAGCUAAACCUUAAUACGUUCCGGUUAAUGAGAAACAACCGGAAGAAAGGCUUGCCGCUCUAAGAGAGGUGCGCGGACCACCAGUUAGUUGGUAAGGUAAUGGCUUACCAAGACAAUGACGGAUAGCCGGCCUGAGAGGGUGACCGGCCGCAAUGGGACUGAGACACGGCCCAUACCCCUACGGGGGGCAGCAGUGGGGAAUCUUGGACAAUGGGGGAAACCCUGAUCCAGCAACUUCGCGUGAAGGACGACGCCUUAAGGGGUGUAAACUUCUUUUCUGGGGGAAGACGACUGACGGUACCCCAGGAAUAAGGGACGGCUAACUACGUGCCAGCAGCCGCGGUAAUACGUAGGUCCCGAGCGUUAUCCGGAGUUACUGGGCGUAAAGAGUCCGUAGCCGGUUGUAUAAGUCUGCUUUUAAAGACCGAAGCUCAACUUCGGAAGGGGGGCAGAUACUGUGCAGCUAGAGGUGAUUGGAGGUUAGUGGAAUUUCCGGUGGAGGGGUGGAAUCUGUUGAUAUCGGAAGGAAUGCCAAAAGCGAAAGCAGCUAACUAUGAUUUUUCUGACGGUAAAGGACGGAAGUGUGGGUAGCAAACAGGAUUAGAUACCCUGGUAGUCCACACUGUAAAUUAUGUUCGCUAGGUGUUGGUUUCUUUUGAAAUUAGUGCCGUAACCUAACGGGUUAAGCGAACCGCCUGGGUAGUAUAGUCGCAAGGCCGAAACUCAAAGGGAUAGGCGGGGAAACACACAAGCGGUGGAUUGCCUUAAUUAAUUUGAUAAUAAGCAAAGAAUCUUACCUGGGCUUGACAUCCUUGGAAUCUUUUGGAAACAAGAGAGUGCUCUGCUUGCAGAGAACCAAGUGACAGGUGUUGCAUGGCCGUCGUCAGCUCGUGCUGCAAAGUGUCCGGUUAAGUCCGGAAACGAGCGCAACCCUUAUUCUUAGUUAGAAUGUCUAAGAAGACUGCCUGGGCAACCAGGAGGAAGGAGAGGAUGAUGUCAGGUCAUUAUGGCCCUUACGUCCGGGGCGUUAGAGGCAAUACAAUGGGUAGUACAAUGGGAAGCGAAGUUGUGAAAUGGAGCAAAUCCUUUAAAGCUAUCCUAAGUGCAGAUUGUAGUCUGGAACUCGACUACAUGAAGUUGGAAUCGCUAGUAAUGGCAAAUCAGCCACGUUGCCGUGAAUAUGUCCCUGUUUCUUGCACUCACCGCCCGUCAUACCAUGGGAG
RNAcentral lists this ribosomal RNA (1288 nucleotides) under uncultured organism. Its description in RNAcentral is "bacterial SSU rRNA". It matches the Rfam family "Bacterial small subunit ribosomal RNA", at positions 93 to 1410 of the family's 1533-position model. The record is from RNAcentral.